RNAcentral lists this long non-coding RNA (2526 nucleotides) under Medicago truncatula (barrel medic). Its description in RNAcentral is "long non-coding RNA (MTRU_LNC001087)". The record is from RNAcentral. Lineage: Eukaryota; Viridiplantae; Streptophyta; Magnoliopsida; Fabales; Fabaceae.
CCGUACGCACUUCAAGCAAAAACACCAAAGUAUAGACCAUCUCUUCUUUAGUACCUAAAAUAUUAGUGUAAGGGUCAAUUUCCUUAUCCAAAUUGGUUCAUACUCAAAGCACCAUAAACAAUGUCAUAAAAUAGAUAGUAUCAAAACUUAUCAAUAAAAAAAAAUUAAGAAAAAAUACAUUCAAGUCAUAUUCUUCAAAGUAAGGUUCACACACAUCUUAUUUGCAAUAAAAUAGUUUUAAGUCAAUAAUCAAUCACAUGUAUACAACAGACUCAAUGCAAUUAUGCGUAAGAUGCAUGCUCUUAUAACUAUAUGAUCCAGAUAUAAUUCCUGCCACUAAGGCAUCCACACAGAAUAUAAUUGCAAUUCGCGUCAUUAAGGUAUCCACACAGAAUAUAAUUGCAAUUCCCGCCACUAAGGCACCACACAGAUGCAUAUGUCAUGUAUGAUCAUGAAAAUACUAAAACCCGCCACUAAGACACACCAAAAAGAGAAUCAAACUUCAUAUCAUAGACACACAUAUUUCAUGAAUAAUAAGCAAGCACCAAUUUUAUAGUCCAUCAAACUUAGCUGCACAAGCAUUCAAAAUAGGAAAGCACAAUAUCACUAAAUAUAGCUAUAUGACUAUCUAGUUGCCAAAUCCUACAAAAGUGUCUCCCAAGUAUGAAUAGAAUGGCCGUAAAUGAUAAAUAAUAAGACUGUGGUAUAUUUUCUCUAAACAAUGAUUAGCCACACAUAUACUUAAACUCAGACUUCUAUUCUUUUAAGAAAGAUUUGAAGUACCGUAUCAUAAUCAUAAUAUCAUUAUUUCUAAAAUUUAUAUCAUUUUCAUAAAACUCACAUUUCCAUUUUUUUUCCUUUUUCUAAUUUAUCAAAAAUCUAACAUCUCUUUCCCUACAUCACAAGAACAUAUCAAGCAUAAUAAUAUAAAACAAACCAGUUCACAUCACAUCCACAUACACAACUUUCACAUAAAACAUAAUUAAGAAUAAUUUUUACCAUAAAAAUACAUUUUAAUUAUUUUUCUUUUUAUAAGACAAGCAUUGCUACCACUAUUUAAUGACACAGCCCUAACACUUAAUAUGGACGUAUGAGAAAAAGCCCUUACCUCGAAAGGCUUACUUCAUAACAAUAUACUUCUAGUUCCACUCAAAGAGCUAUUUGCAAGAAAGGAAGGACUCGAAACUUCAAAAAGGAGACCUAGUAUUAGGGUCUAGUAUUAGGAUCAAAGUGGAGACAAGAGGAACAAGAGAAAAAAAUAAUGAGAAGGUCUUGCCUUGGAUUUACACGCAAAUUGAAGGAAAAUAAAACUUGUGAAUUUAUUUUCAAUGAGCAAGUGAGUCAUUGAGGGAAUAUUAAAGGAGACUGAAGUUAGAGAGAUAGAUGUUAUAUAUAUAUAUGAGUGAGGGGCAGCGCCAACAUGAAGUGAAGAAAUGGGAGUAUAUCUCAAACAAGCGUUUUCUCCAAAAGGGUAUAAAAUUAAAAUGAGAGAAUUUGAGGGAGAGAAUAUGGCGUAUUAUACUGUUAUAUAUGUGUUUAGAGACAUAGGAUGGAAAGUUGGGAGAUAGUGGUGUGUGAACUGUUUUUACGGGUUAAUGUAUCAGGGGAAGUUGUGAAGGAUUGAUCGGCAUCAUUGAAUUUGGAACCAGUGAAAAGGUCAUUUACGAGGGAGAGAAAAGGUCACUAUGCUGCUAGCUAAUAUUGAAAUUGACAUGGAAAUUGUUACAAGAAUAGAAGAAUGGAGUUAAACGAAGUGGCAAUUUUCGAUAUAAAUUAGAACCCAACAUAUAUAUUAUAUAAUAUAAGCUUCGAUAAGCACGGGUAAGUGAAGGAGAAAAAUCAGUAGGAGUAUGUGUUGCUCAUGUGCAGAUAAAACUGCAAGAUAUGUGCCAAAUGACCGUUAUUGUAGAGGAGAAAAUUAAGGAAGGACUUGACACACAUAUGUGAGUGGUGGUUGUUGCUAUUAUCGAGCAAGACAUGGCUAAUAGGCUAAUUAACAAGAGUAAACAUGACUAAUGAGGGAGACGUGUCUUUGACUCAGCAAACAAAAGGGAAGCAUAUGGUCAAAUUAGUUGAAUGAAUAGAGGUCACCGCGAAAACUGUCAUCUUCUUCAAGAGGUCACCGCGAAAGACCUGCUGGAGGCUUACCAGUUUUAUGAUUUUUAGUUCAGUUACAAUUUAAUCCUCAAUUUGGUUGUUUAUGCAGACUUAAAACAUAUAUAUUGAGUGAGGUAUUUCGUAUUUAUUAUUACUAUAGACUCUUUAAAUCAUGCUCCUUAUGUUGGCGCAUACUUUAAUUGGACAUUUGGACUUCAUCUGAAUGCAUUUUGAUCAAAUGAUUCAUAGCACUUUCGGUUUACUUGAAUUGGUCUCUAAUCUUGGUUAAUCUCUUUUAUACAGAUUAUUCUUCUUCCUAAAAGUUUGUUUAGGUUAGUUUAUCAUGUUUGCUUGGAUUGGUAUCCAAAUUUUAUGCCUUGAUGCUGUUAUGGACAUAUCAAAUUUUAGUCUCGCAAUUCUGUAUUUUCC